Long non-coding RNA from Papaver somniferum (opium poppy), 4525 nucleotides. RefSeq lists it as uncharacterized. Lineage: Eukaryota; Viridiplantae; Streptophyta; Magnoliopsida; Ranunculales; Papaveraceae. The transcript has 8 exons. The record is from RefSeq and is a predicted model, not a curated record.
CUACUCCUGCUGACGAAUUAUCUAAUUCUUUUCUCACCAGUCUCUUUCUGCCAACCCUGUCUAUGAAUUUCCAUGUUUUCUUAGUCGUGUUUUCUUUCGAAUUCAGAACCUUGCUACCUUUUAAUGGUUGACGUAAGGGUUUUCUCAUCUUUAAGAUUAGUUAAGACUGAUUUACAGUUCGAUGGAAGCGCCUUCUCAGUCAAAAUUGAACAUUGCCGCAGGGGUGAUGUUGGAUCAAUCAUAAGAUGUGAUGUUUACGGUCUCAAAUAGUGAUUCCGCAUUGAUUUAACAAUACGUAAAAAUAGAAGGGAUCUUAAUAACGAAGCCAUUAACGUUUGUGUGGAAGAGCUACUAAAAGAUGGGUGGAAUCCUGGAAUACAUUCAGGAGAAUUAAUUAUGGGGGAUUUAUUUUUUUGUUGCGAUUUUCUCGCUUUACGAUAUGGUGCUUUUUAGGGUUAUGUGUAAGAGAUUUGAAGAAGAAAGACGAUGGAGGAAUAUAAGAAGAAGGAGGUGAAACACUACAAGAUGAGAGGUGCCAAUGGAGGUUUCCUAUUCAAGCCAAUACCUGUGAGGUUUCAUCAUAAACAGCAAAUCUGGCCAGUGUGUUAAUCUUGAAUGGGAUUUGAAUCUGAGUUGGAGCUGACAGUACUGAAGUUGGUGAUGAAGAAAUGUUGUUGUUGGUUUGUAGCUACAUAAGAGAUAGUGAUGGUGUUGCUUCUUUUGGUUUGAACGAGGUAUGGAGUCUGGUGGUAUGUGCAGCAGAGAGACAUCCAAGCCCAAGGGAUAUGAAUUGCAGUUAGAACUUCUGAUGAUGUAGGAGAAGGGUAUCAAGUGACUCAGGGAAGAUUUCAAGAUGCUACUGUGACUGAUGGAGAUAAACAGGGAUAUGUGCAAUAAAUGCAGAUGUUUUCGUUUGAUCUUCUGCAGGUUUCCUGAAUAUGGAUGUAAAUAUAGUUUCGUUUCCUCAAUUAAUAAAAAGAAAAGGUGAUUGGUAAUCUAUUUCUUUUCUUUUCUUUUUUGCUUCUAUUGAUUGUUUUUUCUUCGUAGCAUCAGUGCUUAAUGAUUAUAUUACUUUUCAUAAGAAUUUAAUUUUGAUUAUAUGCUUGGCCAUAUGACGAAAAAAACAGUUAGGAGGGAGUUGGUAAAGCAUCAUUCAAGUUACUGUUGCACAGAUCCUUAAUUAUAUGUAGCUCUCUAUACAGUCCUCCUGAAGUGAAGCUGUUACCCUCCACCACAUCUUCAUCCUCGAAGUUUAAAUUAAAUGUUAUGUCUCAGCUCAAGCAAAUCAAUGCUUUCCGCUGGAUCAAGUGCUCUUCCGUCUAAAUUGCAGCUCCCAACCAUUAAAAAUGUAGAAAUCACAAAACAUAUAUAGUGUCCUUAUUCGAAUGCAAUCUAAACAUUCUUGGGUAUUUUUCUUAUGAACAUUUUUAAUUUUGGGUUUCUACACUCUGCUUUGUCGGAGGGGAACGUUUCCCAUAACUUUAUUUCUGAAGAUGAAUCCCUACAUGUUAUAAGAAGGUCAGUUCUCUAACCCUAAUUGAUUUGUUUGGUUCGAUUCUCCCUCACCUUUUUAUCUUCAUCACAGGAAUUAGUUGAACUACUGUUCUUUUGAAUCGUUGCCACACAUUGAAAUUAACGCCAGGGUUUUAGCAUGCAAAUUACUCGAGGAAGAUGUAGAAAGUACACUACAUCAACGACACUGACGACUAAGUUUACGCUAUCAGGAUUGAUACAGGAACUGAUAUACUGUGGGUUGAUUGCAAUUUAGGUUGCAGGAACUUAGCAAAGGUAUGUACAAGCUCACCCUGAAGAUUUUACACUAACUCAACUUAUUUUGCUUUAUUGCAUAUUUUUGAAAAAUUGUUUAGGUUAGUUUAGCUUUCGCACCAGGAAUAGUCAGAGAUGUCAAUAUUGGAUAAAUUUUAUUUCAGUCUCAAGAAACUGACAUCAAUUGAAAUUGGUGAGAGUUGUUCAUUAUAAGCUGUAGCGAAGCUGUCUGUUUAUAAUGAUCUUUGUUGGUAAAGACCAUGCUGGAAAGUGCACCAAGAUAUGUUAAACCUGGUGAUGGAGGUGCUACUGAUGAGCCUACGGAUCCAACAGUAGCAGCAGGCUGUAGAUGAUUGAACUUGCAGGCGAACCCAUAUUUACAAACCCCGGUUCGCGUAUGUAAUAUAGAUCUGGUGUUACUUCCUACUCCAGUUCACUUUUUAUCUCUUUCUUUCUCAUCUAUUAUGUGAUCUUCACUCACUAUUUUAUUGAUUUGUUAAUAGGUACGCAAACAAGAAUUCUCAACCAAGUAUGAAUUUGAUUUCUCUCUAUCCUCUUUGCUUUCGAUAUAUAUAUUUGGGUUAUUAGAAGUACACUACAGUAUCAAUAGGCCCUUAACAAUUAUAGAAGUUAUGUACUUAUCAUUACUUAGCUGAGGUCACAGGAGUCAUUUUAAAUACAUGCUCUGGCCAAAUUUCAAGGUGUGCUGAAGAUGUAUAUCUCUGAUUUGCUGCAUACAGUUCAGUUGGUUUGCAAUUUGGAUUAUUUCCAUCUUUUAGUUUCAUGUAUUAUUAUGUCAGAGUAUUGAGUAUGACUUAGAUUGGAUAACUUAUCAUGUCGACACCAAGAUGAGAUAUUUUAAUCAGGUUGCGGCUCAGUGGGACACUAAGAUGAGAUAUUUGAAUCUGCAAACAUCAAUGAAGAUCUAUGAUCUAAAAUUGUGUUAGUACAACUGGUAACACAAUUGAAGUGUUUACUAUUGGAAUUUUGGUUUGGUUUAUAAGCAUUUUUAAUUAGUUUUAAAAUCCACAAGCAGAUGUUAUUUGGUUUCAUUUAGGCUCUAGCUAUUACUCUUUGCGCGGCUAUGUUUUGUUUGUAAAAGCAGAAAACGACAAUUCUACAAUGCAAGGGGUUCAGGGUAAGAUUUUAAAACAAUGAAAUAAAUAAAGAUGCAAUUUUUGUCUCUUUGCCAACAGUGGAAGAAGAAACAUCUCUAUUGCUAAGUUGAGUUUUCGUAUUUCCUUGCUUUAAUUUUAACAAUAUUUAUUAAGAUUUUUUUUAUUCUCUUUGCUUCAGCAGCUGAAUAAGCUUCUGCUAGAAGAGACAUGUAAUUAAAGAGAAGAUCGGAGCUCUUCCAAUGAGGUAAAGAAGGCCUUUGAAUUCCAGUCAGGUGCUUGUAGUGUUCUACAAUACAAGAGGAAAUUAAGAAGAGAUCUGGAGAAGAAGAUGUUAAGAAGAAGCUAAAGAAGAGAUAAAGAGAGUUGUAUUCCGAGAGAAAAGAAAUGGAGUUUCAGAAAAGAUAAUAAUUCACUGAUUGCAUAAAAAGAAUCCAAUGGAGAAACAAGUACUAAUACUACUAGUCGCACGUGCUAACAGUGUGACUUUGACUAAGGCAUCCCCAUUAACAGAUAAGGGCACUUCUAGAACAGAACUACAAGCAAAAAGAAUACUCUCUCAAUUUGGUCCAUGACAAAUACCCCUCAUUGCAAAUGAUUCUUUUCCUCAAGAAUCGCAUCAGGAAACUGUUGUUGUAUGGCUUCUUUGUCUUCCCAAGUUGCUUCCUCAGCCGUGGAGUGAGUCCAGUGAACUAGGAUCUGAUCUACUAGCUGCUGGUGCUUUUUGAUCACCCUUGUAGACAGAACCUGCAGUGGUGCAAUCUUCAUACAUCCUUGAGAGUUUAGAGCUGGUUAUAACACUAUUUUGGGAAGUAACCCUGCACCAAUCUUUGGCUUAAGUUGAGAAACAUGGAAUACUGGGUGUAUUCUGAAAGCUGCAAUUUGUAUGCCACUUUGCCCAGCCUUGCCAAAACUUGGUAUGGACCAAAAAAUUUGGCAGAUAACUUUAAACUCCUCCUCAAUUGAACUGAGCUUUGCCUGUAGGGUUGAAGUCUUAAGUAAACCCAAUCUCCCACCUUGAAUUCUCUCUCAGACCUUUUCUUGUUAGCCUGCUGUUUGAUUCUGUGUUAUGCUUCCUCCAAGGUGGACUUAAGAAUGAUCCCCAUGGCCUGUCUCCUUUGUAAGUACUCUUCAACAGAGUCAUUAGUGGAAGGAGGAUGAGAGAAAAGACCAAACUGCUGAGGUUAGUAUCCAUACAGGGCCUGGAAGGGUGUAAUCUUUAAGCUAGAAUGGUAGGUAGAGUUGAACCCACCAUUCUGCCAAGGAUAACCAACUCAUCCACUUGGUUGGCCUGUAACUAGUCAUACACCUUAAAUAGGAUUCAAGGCAAGCAUUCACCCUCUCAGUUUGGCCAUCAGUCUGAGGAUGAUAUGCUGUAUUCAUGUGUAGAGCAGUGCCCAUCCUAGUGAAUAACUCUUGGCAGAAAUGACUACGAAAAAUGCUAUCCCUAUCUGAAAUGAUGGUAGCAGGAAGACCAUGUAAUUUAAAAAUGUUGUCCAAAAAUACCUUUGCUACAGAGGAGGCAGUGAAAGGAUGGCUUAGGGGCAUAAAAUGGCUGUAUUUGGUGAAUCUGUCCACUAUACCAUAAUGACUUCUCUGCCAUCUGACUUUGGAAGUCCAGUGAUGAAAUCCAUAGAUAUAUG